RNAcentral lists this transfer RNA (74 nucleotides) under Marmota monax (woodchuck). Its description in RNAcentral is "tRNA.Ala". It matches the Rfam family "tRNA". Rfam says of the family: Transfer RNA (tRNA) molecules are approximately 80 nucleotides in length. Their secondary structure includes four short double-helical elements and three loops (D, anti-codon, and T loops). The record is from RNAcentral. Lineage: Eukaryota; Metazoa; Chordata; Mammalia; Rodentia; Sciuridae.
UGGGGAAUGUAGCUCAGUGGUAGAGCACUUGCCUAGCAUGCAUGAAGUCCUGGGUUCAAUCCUCAGUACCAUAA